RNAcentral lists this unclassified non-coding RNA (253 nucleotides) under Entyloma sp. Its description in RNAcentral is "partial internal transcribed spacer region". The stretch from base 1 to 46 matches the Rfam family "Eukaryotic small subunit ribosomal RNA", at positions 1786 to 1831 of the family's 1831-position model. Lineage: Eukaryota; Fungi; Basidiomycota; Exobasidiomycetes; Entylomatales; Entylomataceae. The record is from RNAcentral.
AAGUCAUAACAAGGUAUCUGUAGGUGAACCUGCAGAUGGAUCAUUAGUGAAUAACAAGGGGUUCCCACUCUGUGGGCCCCAACCCUAUCACCAUAUCCACACACCUGUGCACCGCUAGUGAUGACCGAUGUGCUUGCGCGCAUCUUGUCAUCGCCGGCACCCUUUACACACACACACAAAGUAAAUGAAUGUCACUGUAACUACGCAAGUAGAAACAAAAUACAACUUUUGACAACGGAUCUCUUGGUUCUCC